This 398-nucleotide ribosomal RNA is filed under the name uncultured bacterium. RNAcentral describes it as "bacterial SSU rRNA". It matches the Rfam family "Bacterial small subunit ribosomal RNA", at positions 28 to 428 of the family's 1533-position model. The record is from RNAcentral.
GACGAACGCUGGCGGCGUGCUUAACACAUGCAAGUCGAGCGGUAAGGCCCUUUCGGGGGUACACGAGCGGCGAACGGGUGAGUAACACGUGGGUGACCUGCCCUCAGCUCUGGGAUAAGCCUGGGAAACUGGGUCUAAUACUGGAUAUGACUCCACGGUGCAUGUCGUGGGGUGGAAAGCCUUGUGCGGCUGAGGAUGGGCCCGCGGCCUAUCAGCUUGUUGGGUGGGGUGANGGCCUACCAAGGCGACGACGGGUAGCCGGCCUGAGAGGGCGACCGGCCACACUGGGACUGAGACACGGCCCAGACUCCUACGGGAGGCAGCAGUGGGGAAUCUUGCGCAAUGGGCGAAAGCCUGACGCAGCGACGCCGCGUGAGGGAUGACGGCCUCGGUUGUAA